UGAGAAAGAGUUGGCUAAGGAAAAGAGGAAGGACAUUGAUUAGGCAAAUCAAGUUGAGAAUGUUUUUUAUGUUUUUCUUUUUUAGAAGAUAUAGCCUGUGUUUAAUUAAUUGUUUGUGACAUGUAUAGCAUGGGCAAGGAGUUCCAAUAAGAAAGGCACAUAGAAUCAAUGUUACAGAUGUCAGAAGCUCAUGCUAGAAUGCACCUGAGGCAGCAUGUGACUCAGGAAGAUGUGGACAUGGCAAUUCGUGGGUUGCUUGACUCCUUUAUUUCUACUCAGAAGUUUGGAGUGCAGAAGGCUCUACAGAAGGGAGUUUCAAAAAGUACAUGACAUUCAUGAAGGAUUUCAAUGCGAUUGUAAUGCAUCUACUGAAUCAACUUGUGAUGGUGGCGCUGCACUUUAAAGAGAUUGUAUAUGGGUCUAACAAAGUUGUUACUCAUAUUGACGUGAAGGUGGAGGAAUUGCAAAGCAAGGUGCUGGAUUAUGGAAUAAUGGAUUUGAAGGCGUUUUUUUAGCAGCGUGGAAUUUGGUCGUGGGAACUUUGAAUUGGACGAAGAGCGGAGUGUGAUAAGGCAUCACCUUGUAAGGUGAUCAUGGAUUUGUAGGCGGGAUGUAAAAAUUCAAUAUUUAGAAGUUUUACAAGACAGGUUUUGUUAUGCCAAGCAUCGUUUCAAUGCAAACAACAUAGACGG
Molecule: long non-coding RNA, 692 nt
Organism: Cynara cardunculus var. scolymus (artichoke)
Lineage: Eukaryota; Viridiplantae; Streptophyta; Magnoliopsida; Asterales; Asteraceae
Exons: 3
Source: RefSeq, a predicted model, not a curated record